CGUCACCGUAAGGCACUCGGCUCCUCGGACCCACCCCGUGUGGAAGAGCACAGCUGGGACCACACACCAACCUUCCAAGGACCCACUGGGAGCCCUACUCACACGGACUGUGGCCAGAGCCCUGGCCAAGGGGUUCUCAGUGGGGAAUAUGCUCACUUCAUCUUGGAAGAUUCAGCCAACUCUCCACCAGAAAGUCAUCAUCAACAGCCCCUACCCUCGACCAUGGAUGAGAGCAAAUGCUCCCUGGGCGCCAGCCAGAUCUGGAUCCUUUGACCAUUCCGACAGCAGUGAUCGAGGAACAGAAAUGCCCAGUGUCUCCCUGACUGGCUGGGGCAUCAUCCAGACCAGGCCUCCUGGCUGCAGCCCCUCUCCCAGGCUGUCCUCUGCACAAGGGUCUGUAGCAGUUGCAGGCGGAGGCAGGACAGCCAUCCUCAAGCUGCGACUCGCGCUACGAACACUCUCUCACACCCAGGCCUUGCGGUGUCCAUGGUCUCCCUGGGCAGAUCUUGGCCAAGGGUGUGCUUUAGGUGGCCUCAUCUGCGUCCGGCCGAGGCCUGCCCGCCCGGUCCGUUUUGUUUUCUGUGAUUUAUCGUGAGGCUUGGUUGUGUUGGUGGUGGGGAAAUACAGUUUUCUAUUCCAUCUGGAAAUUACUUAUGUAUUUGGUGCAAGGUACAGAUAUCUCCUUAUGUUUUUCAAAAGUCGACCUUUGCAUUGCUCAGAGGGAGCAUAAACCAAUCCAGCACUCCCCGUCCACCUUCACAUUGCUCACAGGGAGUGUACACCAACCCAGCACUCCCCGUCCACCUUCACGUGCCUCACAGGGUGCGUAAACCAAUGCAGCACUCCCCGUCCACCUUCACGUGGCUCACAGGGAGUGUAAACCCACCCAGCACUCCCCGUCCACCUUCACGUGGCUCACAGGGAGUGUAAACCAAUCCAGCACUCCCCGUCUGCCUUCACAUUGCUCACAGGGAGCGUAAACCAACCCAGCACUCCCCGUCCACCUUCACGUGGCUCACAGGGAGCGUAAACCAAUCCAGCACUCCCCGUCAGCCUUCACAUUGCUCACAGGGAGCGUAAACCAAUCCAGCACUCCCCGUCUGCCUUCACAUUGCUCACAGGGAGCGUAAACCAAUCCAGCACUCCCCGUCCACCUUCACGUGGCUCACAGGGAGCGUAAACCAAUCCACUGAUUUCGACCACUGAUGCCUAGCACAGUCUCACUGUCCCCGCUCAUGGUUCUCUAAACCACACGUCUUGUUUCCUUCCUG
This 1271-nucleotide long non-coding RNA is filed under the name Homo sapiens (human). RNAcentral's name for it is "non-protein coding lnc-COL6A2-5:1". The record is from RNAcentral. Lineage: Eukaryota; Metazoa; Chordata; Mammalia; Primates; Hominidae.